This 401-nucleotide ribosomal RNA is filed under the name uncultured Alphaproteobacteria bacterium. RNAcentral describes it as "bacterial SSU rRNA". It matches the Rfam family "Bacterial small subunit ribosomal RNA", at positions 9 to 429 of the family's 1533-position model. Lineage: Bacteria; Pseudomonadati; Pseudomonadota; Alphaproteobacteria. The record is from RNAcentral.
GAGUUUGAUCAUGGCUCAGAACGAACGCUGGCGGCAUGCCUAACACAUGCAAGUCGAACGUGAUCCUGGCUUCGGCUGGGUGAAAGUGGCAGACGGGUGAGUAACGCGUGGGAACCUGCCCUGUGGUAGGGAAUAACCGCGGGAAACUGCGGCUAAUACCCUAUGAGCCCUGAGGGGCAAAGAUUUAUCGCCAUAGGAGGGGCCCGCGUCGGAUUAGGUAGUUGGUGGGGUAACGGCCUACCAAGCCUUCGAUCCGUAGCUGGUCUGAGAGGAUGAUCAGCCACACUGGGACUGAGAUACGGCCCAGACUCCUACGGGAGGCAGCAGUGGGGAAUAUUGGACAAUGGGGGCAACCCUGAUCCAGCAAUGCCGCGUGGGUGAUGAAGGCCUUCGGUUGUAAG